AAUUUCACUGGUCAACUUCAAGUGAUGGUUAUUUCAUUAUAUGCAAUGAAAUACUAUGUAAAUUUUACCUUUAAUAUUGGACAGAAUACAACUUUACUCAUGCAAUUUUAUUUUAUUUGAAACACAGAUAAAUAUGCACAUUUCUUUUGUGUAAACAAAGAUUAAUAGGGGAAAUCAAUGGUGGAUAUAUACCUAUACGUUUCCCUUAUAUAAAAUAAAUAUCAAUACAAAUUGUAUACUUCUUUCCGACUGACUGAGCUGCAAUGAGAAAAUCGUCAAUUUUAAAGCCUUACCUCAGAUUUUAAAAUUAAUAUGGG
This 317-nucleotide long non-coding RNA is filed under the name Mytilus galloprovincialis (Mediterranean mussel). The record is from RNAcentral. Lineage: Eukaryota; Metazoa; Mollusca; Bivalvia; Mytilida; Mytilidae.